RNAcentral lists this long non-coding RNA (216 nucleotides) under Elaeis guineensis (African oil palm). Its description in RNAcentral is "long non-coding RNA (EGUI_LNC025014)". Lineage: Eukaryota; Viridiplantae; Streptophyta; Magnoliopsida; Arecales; Arecaceae. The record is from RNAcentral.
UGGAUGUUGGUAUCUAUUUAUAUGUGUAUGUGUACAAGUGAAUGUGCAUGUGAUGAUGUUUGUAUAUGUCUCCAUAGGAGAAACAAAUUAUAAAUGAGUGCAUGUGCAAUACCUUGAGAAUGAAAAAAAACCAAUUAUAACCAACUUCAACUUCAUCAAGGUCUUGUUAGCUCCAGUGUACCUUCUUUAUCUCUCUCCUACUUUAAUUUCUUGGCA